CAGUAGCCGCGGUAAUACGGAGGGAGCUAGCGUUAUUCGGAAUUACUGGGCGUAAAGCGCACGUAGGCGGCUUUGUAAGUUAGAGGUGAAAGCCUGGAGCUCAACUCCAGAAUUGCCUUUAAGACUGCAUCGCUCGAAUCCAGGAGAGGUGAGUGGAAUUCCGAGUGUAGAGGUGAAAUUCGUAGAUAUUCGGAAGAACACCAGUGGCGAAGGCGGCUCACUGGACUGGUAUUGACGCUGAGGUGCGAAAGCGUGGGGAGCAAACAGGAUUAGAUACCCCUGUAGUCCCUGUCUCUUAUAA
Molecule: ribosomal RNA, 301 nt
Filed under: uncultured bacterium
Lineage: Bacteria
Description: partial 16S ribosomal RNA
Rfam family: Bacterial small subunit ribosomal RNA
Source: RNAcentral